RNAcentral lists this ribosomal RNA (253 nucleotides) under uncultured bacterium. Its description in RNAcentral is "partial 16S ribosomal RNA". It matches the Rfam family "Bacterial small subunit ribosomal RNA", at positions 524 to 776 of the family's 1533-position model. The record is from RNAcentral.
UACGUAGGGUGCAAGCGUUGUCCGGAAUUAUUGGGCGUAAAGAGCUCGUAGGCGGUUUGUCGCGUCUGGUGUGAAAACUCAAGGCUUAACCUUGAGCUUGCAUCGGGUACGGGCAGACUAGAGUGUGCUAGGGGAGACUGGAAUUCCUGGUGUAGCGGUGAAAUGCGCAGAUAUCAGGAGGAACACCGGUGGCGAAGGCGGGUCUCUGGGGCAUAACUGACGCUGAGGAGCGAAAGCAUGGGGAGCGAACAGG